Molecule: long non-coding RNA, 1119 nt
Organism: Carya illinoinensis
Lineage: Eukaryota; Viridiplantae; Streptophyta; Magnoliopsida; Fagales; Juglandaceae
Exons: 3
Source: RefSeq, a predicted model, not a curated record
AGAACAAUGUCGCAUCAGAUGUACUGCAAGUAUAUAUACAUAUUUGAAUUUCGAAUUUGAAUUUUUGUAGGGUUUGUGAUUUUCCACUUCUCCAUCCAACGGUAAUGAACCGUAACGCUCAGUCCCUACAUUUUGUUAUUUAAAUUUUCACAGAUUCAUUUUCUUCUCUCUUCCACGCCCUCUCUCUUCCCCCUCUGAACUCCAGUCUGUCCCUCUUUUCCUCUCUCCCUCUCUCUCUCGGCUAGCCCCAUCACCGCCCAACUCGGACCGUUGUCGCAUCGUCGUUCGUAUUUUAAUCGGCCCACACUUGCGGGGCUAGUUCUCAUUCUUGGCCCCACUCGAAAAGCGUAAGAUCUGCUCUUGGAAAAUCUCAAUGCGGUGGAGGAUAAAACUCUUUCGAUGUGAGGCAUACAUGUGUAUUCAGAUAGAUUAGUCGAGGAGGCUCAGAAGGCAGUCCCAAACUGAUUUCAGUGUGGUAAGUUAGAAACUUUUAGCUAACUUCAUAUUUCAUUUUUAAUCUUAGUUCCAAACCUGCUGGAACACAAGUGUCAGUUAUGGGCAUGAAACUUUUCUUGCUUGUGUGUGUAUAAAACUCAUAAAAAUAUGAAGUAGAUAAUAUGCUGGAAGAGGGAGGGAGAGUAUAUUGAGGAGCUUCUGCUAGCUUAUGCUGUGUUGAGGAGGGUGGCCUUAGUUUUGGAUGAAAAAUGAGACAGAGACUGGCGACUUCACCUCGAGAACACUUCCAACAUUGUACUUUAAUCAUAUCCACUCUUAACCUCCCAAGAACCAAAUGUGCCAACUUAAGCAGUUCAGGCUUUCUGUGUUGUUGCAUUUUUGCAUGACUUGCAAUCUCUUUAGAGAGGGCUGGAUGGUAGGUAAACUGCCUGUAAGGCCUACUUUUAAUCUAAAGAAGAUGAGAGAUAACCUACAUUUGCUGGAGAUUCCCACAUUUACACUGUUUUCAUAUGUGAAAGCUUGUUGGAAAUUUCCAUUUUCCACAUUUCUAGUUCAUGUUUUACUCUUGAAUAUAAUCGUUUAUAUGGUUAGUAAUGUUGCAUUUGGUUGUUCACAGAACAAAUAAGUUUUUUUUAGUAAGUUAAACUUUAAAACGAUCAAAUG